Molecule: ribosomal RNA, 385 nt
Filed under: uncultured crenarchaeote
Lineage: Archaea; Thermoproteati; Thermoproteota
Description: partial 16S ribosomal RNA
Rfam family: Archaeal small subunit ribosomal RNA
Source: RNAcentral
CACCAGCCCCUMGAGUGGUGGGGACUAUUAUUUGGCCUAAAGCGUCCGUAGCUGGCUGUAUCCGUCUYCCGGUAAAUCCGGCGUCUCAAGCGUCGGAUUGCGGGUGAUACCMUWCAGCUUGAGGGUGGGAUAGGUUAGCGGUAUUUCUGGGGUAGGGGCGAAAUCCUUUGAUCCCRGGAGGACCACCAGUGGCGAAGGCUGCUSACUAGAACACGCCUGACGGUCAGGGACGAAAGCUGGGGBAGCGAACCGGAUUAGAUACCCGGGUAGUCCCAGCUGUAAACGAUGCUMGCUAGGUGUUGGGUCGGCCACGCGCCGCCCCAGUGCCGCAGGGAAGCCGUUAAGCUCGCCGCCUGGGGAGUACGGCCGCAAGGCUGAAACUUAA